This 575-nucleotide ribosomal RNA is filed under the name Oxnerella micra. RNAcentral describes it as "bacterial SSU rRNA". It matches the Rfam family "Eukaryotic small subunit ribosomal RNA", at positions 4 to 564 of the family's 1831-position model. Lineage: Eukaryota; Centroplasthelida; Pterocystida; Oxnerellidae. The record is from RNAcentral.
CUGGUUGAUCCUGCCAGUAGUCAUAUGCUUGUCUUAAAGACUAAGCCAUGCAUGUCUAAGAAUAAGCCCUUUGAAAGGUGAAUCUGCGAAUGGCUCAUUAAAUCAGUUAUUGUUUAUUUGAUGGUACCUUACUACUUGGAUAACCGUAGUAAUUCUAGAGCUAAUACAUGCUUACAUAGCCUCGACUAGACUUGUCUGGAAGAGGUGCAUUUAUUAGAUUCAAACCAUUGGUUCUUUACGGAUCCUUUAAUGGUGAGUCAUAAUAACUGAGCGAAUCGAAUUUAACCCUUGUGGUUGUCGAUGCUUCAUUCAAAUUUCUGCCCUAUCAGCUUUCGAUGGUAGGAUCUUGGCCUACCAUGGCUAUAACGGGUAACGGGGAAUUAGGGUUCGGUUCCGGAGAGGGAGCUUGAGAAACGGCUACCACAUCCAAGGAUGGCAGCAGGCGCGCAAAUUACCCAAUCCCGACACGGGGAGGUAGUGACAAUAAAUAACAAUGCUGGACUAUUUUUAGUCCGGCAAUUGGAAUGAGAGUAAUUUAAACCAAUACUCGAGGACCCANUGGAGGGCAAGUCUNG